UCUUCAGACCAUUCAGGAAGUUGGAAGAAUAACAUACGCCCGAGAUUUUUGGCUAUUAUCAAUGAAGGUA
RNAcentral lists this transfer RNA (70 nucleotides) under Dunalia brachyacantha. RNAcentral describes it as "tRNA-Asn". Lineage: Eukaryota; Viridiplantae; Streptophyta; Magnoliopsida; Solanales; Solanaceae. The record is from RNAcentral.